GACGUAGGGCGCGAGCGUUGUCCGGAUUUAUUGGGCGUAAAGAGCUCGUAGGCGGCUUGUCGCGUCGACUGUGAAAACCCGUGGCUCAACCAUGUGGUCUGCAGUCGAUACGGGCAGGCUAGAAUUCGGUAGGGGAGUCUGGAAUUCCUGGUGUAGCGGUGAAAUGCGCAGAUAUCAGGAGGAACACCGGUGGCGAAGGCGGGACUCUGAGCCGAUACUGACGCUGAGGAGCGAAAGCGUGGGGAGCGAACAGG
RNAcentral lists this ribosomal RNA (254 nucleotides) under uncultured bacterium. RNAcentral describes it as "partial 16S ribosomal RNA". It matches the Rfam family "Bacterial small subunit ribosomal RNA", at positions 524 to 776 of the family's 1533-position model. The record is from RNAcentral.